Mytilus californianus (California mussel) is the source of this 218-nucleotide long non-coding RNA. RefSeq lists it as uncharacterized. The transcript has 3 exons. The record is from RefSeq and is a predicted model, not a curated record. NCBI's taxonomy places the organism in Eukaryota, Metazoa, Mollusca, Bivalvia, Mytilida, Mytilidae.
UGUGUAACCAGGAAGCAAGCAAAUAUAUAAAUUCUAAGUCACAUAAACUAUUUUUCAUCUGAAAAAAAAACCUUCAAUCGAUAAUCAAACCUGAGAAAAAAAGGCAAAAUGGCAAAAACUUUCGUGACGCUUUCCUCGUGGAAUAAAAGAAUGAUGGUAGGAGAGGAAUUUUCCUUAGAGGUUAAGUGUAAUAAAGCAAGCCAAGCUAAGGAAAUUGG